This is a long non-coding RNA of Rhodamnia argentea, 173 nucleotides long. RefSeq lists it as uncharacterized. NCBI's taxonomy places the organism in Eukaryota, Viridiplantae, Streptophyta, Magnoliopsida, Myrtales, Myrtaceae. The transcript has 3 exons. The record is from RefSeq and is a predicted model, not a curated record.
UUAUAAUAUGUCUCAAGUUUGAACCAACAAACGAAAUUGACAUAAGACGAAUUGUUACUUAUGUGGACUUUCAAGUAUUGAGCAAAGAAAGAUGGCACGAGCACGUAAUCUUUCUUUGGCAAUUGUUAGAUGUAAAAAGAAAAAAAAAAAAGAAGAAGAAGAUAAAGUAUAAU